This 489-nucleotide ribosomal RNA is filed under the name uncultured bacterium. RNAcentral's name for it is "partial 16S ribosomal RNA". It matches the Rfam family "Bacterial small subunit ribosomal RNA", at positions 28 to 507 of the family's 1533-position model. The record is from RNAcentral.
GACGAACGCUGGCGGCGUGCUUAACACAUGCAAGUCGAACGGAAAGGCCCCCAUCUUGGUGGGGGUGCUCGAGUGGCGAACGGGUGAGUAACACGUGGGUGAUCUGCCCUGUACUUCGGGAUAAGCUUGGGAAACUGGGUCUAAUACCGGAUAGGACCAUGGUUUAGUGUCUCAUGGUGGAAAGAUUAUUGUUUUGGUGCAGGAUGAGCUCGCGGCCUAUCAGCUUGUUGGUGGGGUAAUGGCCUACCAAGGCGUCGACGGGUAGCCGGCCUGAGAGGGUGGACGGCCACAUUGGGGCUGAGAUACGGCCCAGACUCCUACGGGAGGCAGCAGUGGGGAAUAUUGCACAAUGGGCGCAAGCCUGAUGCAGCGACGCCGCGUGGGGGAUGACGGCCUUCGGGUUGUAAACUCCUUUCGUUAGGGACGAAGCCGCACUUUUUUGGGGUGUGGUGACGGUACCUUUGUUAAGAAGCACCGGCUAACUACGUG